GACUCUCGGCAACGGAUAUCUCGGCUCUCGCAUCGAUGAAGAACGUAGCGAAAUGCGAUACUUGGUGUGAAUUGCAGAAUCCCGUGAACCAUCGAGUCUUUGAACGCAAGUUGCGCCCGAAGCCACUAGGCCGAGGGCACGCCUGCCUGGGCGUCA
This 156-nucleotide ribosomal RNA is filed under the name Prunus persica (peach). RNAcentral describes it as "rRNA 5_8S_rRNA". It matches the Rfam family "5.8S ribosomal RNA". Rfam says of the family: 5.8S ribosomal RNA (5.8S rRNA) is a component of the large subunit of the eukaryotic ribosome. It is transcribed by RNA polymerase I as part of the 45S precursor that also contains 18S and 28S rRNA. Lineage: Eukaryota; Viridiplantae; Streptophyta; Magnoliopsida; Rosales; Rosaceae. The record is from RNAcentral. RNAcentral also lists the same sequence under 1 other name.